UUCCGGUUGAUCCUGCCGGACCUGACUGCUAUCGGAUUGAUACUAAGCCAUGUGAGUCAUUGUAGUAAUACAAGGCAGACGGCUCAGUAACACGUAGUCAAUCUACCCUAUGGACGGGGAUAACCUCGGGAAACUGAGGAUAACACCCGAUAGAUCAUAAUGCCUGGAACGGUUUAUGGUCCAAAUGAUUCGUCGCCGUAGGAUGGGACUGCGGCCUAUCAGCUUGUUGGUGAGGUAAUGGCCCACCAAGGCUAUUACAGGUACGGGCUCUGAGAGGAGAAGCCCGGAGAUGGGUACUGAGACACGGACCCAGGCCCUAUGGGGCGCAGCAGGCGAGAAACCUUUGCAAUGUGCGCAAGCACGACAAGGUUAAUCCGAGUGUUUCCUGCUAAAGGAAUCUUUUGUUAGUUGUAAAACCACUGACGAAUAAGGGGUGGGCAAGUUCUGGUGUCAGCCGCCGCGGUAAAACCAGCACCUCAAGUGGUCAGGAGGAUUAUUGGGCCUAAAGCAUCCGUAGCCUGUUCUAUAAGUUUCCGGUUAAAUCCAUUAGCUCAACUAAUGGGCCGCCGAAAAUACUGUAGAACUAGGGAGUGGGAGAGGUAGACGGUAUUCGGUAGGAAGGGGUAAAAUCCUUUGAUCUAUUGAGGACCACCUGUGGCGAAGGCGGUCUACCAGAACACGUUCGACGGUGAGGGAUGAAAGCUGGGGGAGCAAACCGGAUUAGAUACCCGGGUAGUCCCAGCUGUAAACGAUGCAGACUCGGUGAUGCGCUGGCUUGUGGCCAGUGCAGUGCCGCAGGAAGCCGUUAAGUUUGCCGCCUGGGAAGUACGUACGCAAGUAUGAAACUUAAAGGAAUUGGCGGGGGAGCACACAAGGGUGAAGCCUGCGGUCAAUUGGACUCAACGCGGAAAUCGUCG
RNAcentral lists this ribosomal RNA (917 nucleotides) under uncultured archaeon. RNAcentral's name for it is "bacterial SSU rRNA". It matches the Rfam family "Archaeal small subunit ribosomal RNA", at positions 1 to 929 of the family's 1478-position model. The record is from RNAcentral.